Molecule: non-coding RNA, 99 nt
Filed under: Deltaproteobacteria bacterium
Lineage: Bacteria; Pseudomonadati; Myxococcota; Myxococcia
Description: TPP sequence
Rfam family: TPP riboswitch aptamer (THI element)
About the family: Vitamin B(1) in its active form thiamin pyrophosphate (TPP) is an essential coenzyme that is synthesised by coupling of pyrimidine and thiazole moieties in bacteria. The previously detected thiamin-regulatory element, thi box was extended, resulting in a new, highly conserved RNA secondary structure, the THI element, which is widely distributed in eubacteria and also occurs in some archaea. Analysis of operon structures identified a large number of new candidate thiamin-regulated genes, mostly transporters, in various prokaryotic organisms.
Source: RNAcentral
UUGGAAACCUAGGGGUGGCACGGUAACGGCCGGGCCUGAGAGCAUACCCUCGAACCUGAUCUCGGUCAUGCGAGCGCAGGGAAGGUUUCAGCGGUUUUA